CUUAUUUGCUAGAGAGAAUUAGAAACACAAGGAUUGAUUACUGAUGAAAGAACCACACAUAGAUAUAUGUUUUCUCCAUUGGCCAGCAAUUCAACUGCAUGUUUUAGGAACCACAAAUAGCUUUGGGUAAUAUUAUCUUCAGAAACCCUGCCCUGCCGCCCCUCUGGUCCUUAUCACCAUCGCGCUCCUGCGCACAGGCGUCUCCCCGCUGCCUCGGCGCCUUCCGUAGCAGGUUAGGGCGGAGCUGAGAAUGAGGCAUCCGCACACCACUAUUCCUCCCUUUGAGCGCCGUUGAUGUGCCCCUGAUUAUCUCCGCCAAGUUUAGCCGCCAACUUCACUGGAAGCUCCACGAUGAUCCAGGUAAUCCCCAAACAAACCAUUGUCUGCUCACGAUUUCAGAAGAGAAGCGGCUGAGCGUAUUCAUAUGAUGAGUAAGAAGAUAAAUUUGUGUGGUUUAGUCACCGGAUCAACCGUUAGCUUCCCCGAUGGUGUUGUUAGUUUAUUACUACACCUGAAAUUACAUCUCAGCUAAAAGCUUCCAUCACAGUCAUGCCGACCUCACCAAGCUACAUUUUCUGAGUAGUUUCCAUACACUAACUCUUGGAGUUACAGGUGCCUUCAAGGACAAGCUCAGCGACCUCGACGCUGCACAAGGUGAACGAGCACGGGAAGCCGCUGGCCAGCGAGCAGGAGAAGCUCACCGCGGAGGCUGAUUUCAAAAUUUCAGAUAGGUAGGUAGAUGGAUGAGAAUGAGAUACCUUUUUCAUUUUUCGCCCAUUUAUCAAGAUCGGCCGAUCACGAAGGCAUGUAGUUGUUCAUAAUUAAUAUUGGAAGUGCAAGCAUUCUCAUAUAUAUAAUAGAAAAUUUUGGUAAUCCGCUCAGGGAGUGAUUUUCUCUAAUUCAUGGUAGUGCCCACAUGGCUGUAAUCGCCUAAAGAUUCAGCGGUUCGCUCUCACUAAUUUAGGGCAAACACCCGCAUCGUGAUGAUAGCAGUCACUGUGUGGAUAUGAGGCCAGUUGCAUUAUUUCUAGCCUCAUAUUUUUGUUUAUUGUUGUAGAAUGGGGAAGGAUGCCGAAGAUGUAGGGGACCAUUCAAGGGAAGAGAAGAUGCGCGUUUUUCCUUCCUAACCAUUUGAGUAGUGUUGUGUGCAAUUUAUGCUUGUUUUGAAAAUUUGGUUGUAAAUGUUGAAUUUAUCUCCAAUCAUCUGUUGUUCUGUAAUUUCUACAAACUUUCAUAUUUUCGCAUGAAUUUUUUAAAAUGUGUCUGUUAGAAGCUUGUAUAUCAUACAUGGAUUGGAGAACAUACAUGAUUAUCUCCUUUCAGACUGUUCGGGGUUUCUAGAUCAGAAGNNN
RNAcentral lists this long non-coding RNA (1352 nucleotides) under Hordeum vulgare. Its description in RNAcentral is "long non-coding RNA (HVUL_LNC020985)". The record is from RNAcentral. Lineage: Eukaryota; Viridiplantae; Streptophyta; Magnoliopsida; Poales; Poaceae.